Cyprinus carpio carpio is the source of this 1558-nucleotide long non-coding RNA. NCBI's taxonomy places the organism in Eukaryota, Metazoa, Chordata, Actinopteri, Cypriniformes, Cyprinidae. The record is from Ensembl.
UAAUUAUAUGUUUGGCAGUAGCACGAUGUUUGUUAAUAUUAUAUUCAUUAUAAUUAAAAAUUAUUAUAACGAGUUACACAUUUUUUGCGACAGCAUAUUUAGCCUACAUACAAAGCCUACGUAUUAUUUUCUAGAGUUUGUAAGUUCUGUAAGUGCAGGAUUUGUUUGCUACAUUCAGGACAUUUACUUUCACGGUUAAGAUUUAAUUUUGUGUAGCUCUCGUAACAUUGUUUUUGAAUUAAUAGCGUUGGCAUGCCCGGUUUUACUAGGAACAUGUCUUGAUAUUCCGGUAUAUUUAGAGAGAGAAAAAAUUAAAUAAAUAACAAAAAGUAUAUUUUUAGAUUAACCAGCAGGAAAGUAUCAAUGUGAACUGACUGCAAAGGAUUGUUUUAAAAAUACAUAUGUAAGAAUUAGUCAAUACUUGUAUCUUAGUGUUGUUAAAAUAACAAAAAAUAUGUCUCAGUAAACUGACAGCCAUGUAUAUAAAGAAAAUAGUUAUCUGGUGAUUGCAUUACCUCUGGUAGUGAUAUUAGGGACAUUACUGCUCAUGCAAUUUAUUUAUUUUAUUUUAUUUAUUUAUUUAUUUUAUUUACAGUGUUUACUGUUUAUCUUGUGGGCACAUCAUGUGUAAAGGAAAAAUUAAAAGAUAAAAAAAUCUUGAUAAAAUAAAAGAUAAAAUUUGAAUUUAAACCUCAGCAUAUGCACCACAGAAAUGAACCCUUUCAUCCUGAACACAUAUGAAUAAUCUUGCCUGUCUGCAUGAGACAACUGUCAUAAUAUCUGGCCUCUCCUCAACAUCUGUGGGCCUCCAAACUUGGUGCUGGUCCAAAUAUGGAUCCCCAGGAUUGGGAGGCUUUCCAAGGCACUUGGUGAUGAGAGCAAGGUCGUCCACGGACAUGUCCAAGAGCCAAAGCUCUACACCUGGUCCAUUCAGCCUAUACAGCACAUGAACCAAACCUCAGAGCCACGCGACCACUUCUCUGCUUGCCUUGUAUUUGACAGGUCCUGUUUAAAUGGCUCUAAACGCAGGUCUGGACUUCUAAUAGAAAACACUCCAUCCGUGUGGCAAAUGUUCAGAAGCAUUUGCAGGUUGGGCUUUGACAUGAAAGGAUGUCAGUGUCUUAUAUAAUAGCAGUUUGAUCUAAAAAAAAAAAAAAAAAAAAAAAAAAACAUGUCUUCUUCAGUCUUCUUUAACGAGGAGAGUAGACACAGUUAAUGUACAGACGGUAUGCAUGUUCUGUUAACCAGUGUUGUUGGUAGAUGUACAAGACCUUGUAAAUAAACUGAAAAAUUAUGAGUAAUACAAAAGUUAUUUUACUUUAUUUUAUGUAAUAUUAAGUAUUUUAGAAUAAUUUGAUAUACACUGCAGCAACAUGAGAAAAAUAAAAAUAAAAAAUAAAAAUAAAUAAAUAGCUUUUAGGGUAGUGGGAUAUCACAGGUCAAAUGUACAAUAGAAUAAAUAUAUUCAUAUAUAUAUAUAUAUAUAUAUAUAUAUAUAUAUAUAUAUAUAUAUAUAAACUUUUAUAUUAUUGUAUUAAUAUCUGGCAGUAAAAAAUUA